Molecule: long non-coding RNA, 313 nt
Organism: Spea bombifrons (plains spadefoot toad)
Lineage: Eukaryota; Metazoa; Chordata; Amphibia; Anura; Pelobatidae
Exons: 2
Source: RefSeq, a predicted model, not a curated record
UUUUUUUUUUUUACUUUUUUUUUUAGGUUUUUUUAAUUUUUUUUUUAUUAGAGCCAUUAACCCUUUCCUUCCCCACUAUUUUUGCUGCAAUUGUUACCAUGCAGCGGUAUACGGCUGAGGAGGCAUGUUCCAAAUGUGGCCCUUUUGGCCCCAAACAAUCUGACAAACCCAUGCAUGUGGGGUAUCAAUGUACUCAGGAGAUCAAAAACAAUUACUAUCACAAACUUUGACAAGGGUUGGUGGUAGGAUUAGUGCAUGGAAAGGGUUAAACUAUCAGCAUCUAAAAUACCCUGGGGUGUCUAGUUUUCAAAAA